AACUAUUUAUUUUUUUAACUGUAUUUUAUUAAAAUAUUAUUUGAAAUUUCCAAAUACAAAUAUUUUACAUGUGCCUACAUUAAUGUUGUCAAAUACCUACAAAAAACAUAGGCCAAGACAGUUGAGGUACCGUUCAAAUGAUAUCUACUMAACUCAAACCAGAUGAAUACAUAUAAAAGUUUACUAACACAGAAGUAUGCUUAGUCUAACUAGGAUAAAUUGUAUACAUUAAAAUGGAUCAAUAUUGCUUGAGUCCCUAAUGGUUGGCACAACUAAUCCGUGUAACAUCAAUUUCGUGCUUUUUAUGAAUUAUUCAGUGGCAAUUAUGUAAGUUGCAUCAAUGUUGAGGAGGUAUGCAUUGGCUUCAAAUCUUCUUUGUUUUCCAUCAAUUUACAAUAAAACAUACAACUGUUCGACACUGAAUGCUGUGGGAGCUGCAGUUUACGGCUUACAUUACAAGUGUUAUUUAUGAAAUAUCUUGAAUGCGUGACGUAGUCGGAUUGCGCAGAUCAAAUUGACAACAUACCAUGCUAUUUAGCCAUGAUUGAAAUUAGUGAAUGAAGAUUUUGUAUGUACCUAGUACGUGUCUAAGACUGAGACAACACAUACGGAAGUUACAUCCUCUUAAGUGCCCAAAUAUYCUGAAUGAUACUGCUUUCAAAACACCCGAGUUAAUCAAAACCUGAAAAACAUUUUGGUUAACUUUUUACCUGAAUUAUAGAUAUUGGUGUAAUUCUAAAACAAAUGACCGUAGAAGACGCUUGAAAUUUUCACUGAAUGUUUAUACUAGCAUUUUCUA
This is a long non-coding RNA of Diuraphis noxia (Russian wheat aphid), 799 nucleotides long. RefSeq lists it as uncharacterized. NCBI's taxonomy places the organism in Eukaryota, Metazoa, Arthropoda, Insecta, Hemiptera, Aphididae. The record is from RefSeq and is a predicted model, not a curated record.